RNAcentral lists this ribosomal RNA (229 nucleotides) under uncultured bacterium. Its description in RNAcentral is "partial 16S ribosomal RNA". It matches the Rfam family "Bacterial small subunit ribosomal RNA", at positions 104 to 334 of the family's 1533-position model. The record is from RNAcentral.
CGGGGUGAGUAAUGUAUGGGGAUCUGCCUGAUGGCGGGGGGUAACUACUGGAAACGGUAGCUAAUACCGCAUAAUGUCUACGGACCAAAGCGGGGGACCUCCGGGCCUCGCGCCAUCAGAUGAACCCAUAUGGGAUUAGCUUGUAGGUAAGGUAACGGCUUACCUAGGCGACGAUCCCUAGCUGGUCUGAGAGGAUGAUCAGCCACACUGGGACUGAGACACGGCCCAG